AGUCUUGUAUUGGAAUGAUGGGAAUCUAAACCCCUUCCAGAGUAUCAAUUGGAGGGCAAGUCUGGUGCCAGCAGCCGCGGUAAUUCCAGCUCCAAUAGCGUAUAUUAAACUUGUUGCAGUUAAAAAGCUCGUAGUUGAAUUUCUGCUGUUUCGUUGACUGCGUUUGGCGUUUGUCAUCGUUGCGGCUUGGUUGGGUUUCGAUUAUUCGUUUCCCGGCGUUUACUUUGAGAAAAUUAGAGUGCUUGAAGCAGGCUUUUGCCUUGAAUACUUUAGCAUGGAAUAACGGAGUAGGACUUUGGUUCUAUUUUGUUGGUUUUAGGAGCCAGAGUAAUGGUUAAUAGGAACAGUUGGGGGCAUUCGUAUUUGACUGUCAGAGGUGGAAUU
This 384-nucleotide ribosomal RNA is filed under the name Theileria equi. Its description in RNAcentral is "SSU rRNA". It matches the Rfam family "Eukaryotic small subunit ribosomal RNA", at positions 500 to 918 of the family's 1831-position model. Lineage: Eukaryota; Apicomplexa; Aconoidasida; Piroplasmida; Theileriidae. The record is from RNAcentral.